RNAcentral lists this transfer RNA (75 nucleotides) under Sphaerodactylus townsendi. RNAcentral's name for it is "tRNA-Val". The record is from RNAcentral. Lineage: Eukaryota; Metazoa; Chordata; Lepidosauria; Squamata; Sphaerodactylidae.
GAAGGGCUGUGGCUCAGUGGUUGAGCAUCUGCUAAACGUGCAGAAGGUCCCAGGGUUCAAUCCCCGACGUCUUCA